Molecule: long non-coding RNA, 1255 nt
Filed under: Anser brachyrhynchus (Pink-footed goose)
Lineage: Eukaryota; Metazoa; Chordata; Aves; Anseriformes; Anatidae
Description: lncRNA (ENSABRG00000009031.1)
Source: RNAcentral
CACUAAAGCUAGUUACUGCACUGUGCAAAUUUCCAUAUGGAAAAUCUACAAGGAGUACUAUAUCAGGUCAAGUGAAAAGUUCUCUUACUCUUCCUCCACAAUUGAGAAAGACGCAACCAAGCUGAAGGAGAGCCAAAAGAUGGAAUAAGCAAAAUUAUAGCAUACAGAAGUAUUCAUCCUGCGUUGCAGAGUGGUUUGGGGAAAAAGGCUAGUAUACUCUGUGGCUAUCACGUGAAGACGUAAAGAUUCUGUACUUAGGAAACUUCAUCUACUUGAAGUUUGAGAUAUGUGUCAUAGAGAUACAAUGUUCUGUUACUUAAUUUUCUUUUCAGUAGUCUCUGUACUUCAUUCCAAUCCGCUGAAUGGGAGCAGCAAUGGGGAAAAGAGAGAUGGGAAACCACAAGGAAAUAAUAACUACAGUUGUGUGUUGAUGUCUGAACAGGAAAGGAAUUUAAUCCCUGUAGUUUUGGAAAAACUCCUGAAGAUAUAUAUAGAAGAUGAUAAAGCUUCUGGAUGAUUAACUUUUGUUGUUAUUAUUUUGUUUUGUAUACUGAAUUGUUCUGUGAAUUAAUGUUCAUCUGGUUUACAUAUUUAGCAAGUCAAACAUUUCAAUAUGUAGUCAAUGAAGUUCUACCUUAUACAGUAGAUGGUAAACAGAUGUGCCUGAAUGGAGCUUGUUACAACUUGUCUGUCAACAAAUUUUAACCUGUAAUUAAGCAGGAUUGAGGGCUGCAAUCAGAAUAUUGCAUUUAGGUUUUAUAUUACAUUUAGAUAAUACAAGGGGAAAUUUACUGUGCUAUCUUCAACUCCCUAUAAUCUUUCUACCUUUGGUUUCCUAGGCCUUUCUCCCUGUCUCCUACUUGUCCUCCCAAGUCAGUUUUUGAGUUUACAUAGGGAAAGACUAUCAAAAUACUUAUUUUCAAGGGUACUGCUUUUAAUGUGGUAUAUAUCAUCUGACAUAGGCCAUACAGAUGAAAAUAGAAGAAAUAUAGCAACUGGAUGAACAAUGAUAAUAGUUUGAGAGUUAGAAUAGGUAGUUAAAUUAAAUAAUAAUAAUAAUAAUAAUAAUAAUAAUAAUAAUAAUAAUAAUAAUAAUAAUAAUGUCUUUUAAGCAGUGCAUUUUAAACAUAAACAAUUAGUUUAGCAAAUCAUAAUACUUUAAAGAUCAGUCUCUUUGCUAAAGCUAACACAGACUUCUAAUUACUUGAUAUAAUCAAAUAUUUGGAAAUAGGGAGCCCAAUUAAAUGUUUCCAAA